GCUGGGUGAGGUGGUGCACACCUAUAAUCCCAGCAGCUCGGGAGGCUGGGGCAGGAGGAUCACGAGUUCAAAGCCAGCCUCAGCAACAGUGAAGUGCUGAGCAACUCAGUGUGACCCUGUCCUUA
Molecule: small RNA, 125 nt
Filed under: Marmota monax (woodchuck)
Lineage: Eukaryota; Metazoa; Chordata; Mammalia; Rodentia; Sciuridae
Source: RNAcentral